AGAACGAACGCUGGCGGCAGGCUUAACACAUGCAAGUCGAGCGCCCCGCAAGGGGAGCGGCAGACGGGUGAGUAACGCGUGGGAACAUACCCUCCGGUUCGGAAUAGCUCAGGGAAACUUGGAUUAAUACCGGAUACGGCCUAGCGGCGAAAGAUUCAUCGCCGGAGGAUUGGCCCGCGUUCGAUUAGCUAGUUGGUGAGGUAACGGCUCACCAAGGCGACGAUCGAUAGCUGGUCUGAGAGGAUGAUCAGCCACAUUGGGACUGAGACACGGCCCAAACUCCUACGGGAGGCAGCAGUGGGGAAUAUUGGACAAUGGGCGCAAGCCUGAUCCAGCCAUGCCGCGUGAGUGAUGACGGCCUUAGGGUUGUAAAGCUCUUCGCUAGGACGAUAAUGACGUACCUAGACAAGAAGCCCCGGACUAACUUCGUGCCAGCAGCCGC
Molecule: ribosomal RNA, 442 nt
Filed under: uncultured bacterium
Lineage: Bacteria
Description: SSU rRNA
Rfam family: Bacterial small subunit ribosomal RNA
Source: RNAcentral